Long non-coding RNA from Betta splendens (Siamese fighting fish), 1078 nucleotides. RefSeq lists it as uncharacterized. The record is from RefSeq and is a predicted model, not a curated record. NCBI's taxonomy places the organism in Eukaryota, Metazoa, Chordata, Actinopteri, Anabantiformes, Osphronemidae. The transcript is spliced from 2 exons.
GGGAGCUGAGUCAGACCUGUCGCAGGAGGAGUCUGCCGGAGAGAAGCGUUUGGAAACUUUAUUGCUUUUUUAUUGCACCGUGCGGGGCUUUCACUAAGUCUUGCUGUUUACUGGAGCGGCCGCUGUACAAGAAGUGUUUUGAACACAACAAAAAAACAAAAUCUACAAGCUCCUUACCAAAGCUGGGGAAGAGAAUGAUCUGAGAGGUUUCCUGGGCCGGGCCGGGUCGGCGGUUGACCCAUGCCGUCCUGCUGGUCCUCAGCGCCCUCUGAUGCAUGUGCCUGGUUGGUGGCUGUGCCGCGUCCCCAUCGAAGCGCUGCAGCGAGGUCACGGGAGGCUCCUCCAGCCCGAGGCCGUCCAGAACCCGCUCUCUGAACCAGGACAAUACCGCCUCCCUGGACAGCUCCUCUGCCCCGCAGGUUUCAAUCAGACCGUGGAUCCACAACGGACUCAGGAUGAGGAGAGCGCAGGACACCAUGGUCGCAGCGUGCAACCAACGCUUCACACGAAAUACACCACAAAGCAGAGAACUGUCUAUUUCCAGGCUUUUUCUACAAAGACAAACGCCAAUUAGUAGUGGAAAACUGAUUAUGGUCUGUGACUUCCCUUAUUCUCACAGAUAUGCGCGGCUGAGUCUGCAGCUGUCUGGGUCUGAGCGCAGUCUGCAGGCAGAAACACUAAUGUGAGAUAGCAAAGAAUGGCCUUGACAGUUGGGAUAUUGCAUUAUCAGUUUAUUGUAGCUGUUUCACACAGUAUUGAAAGAAUGUGUCUCCAUGUAUUAUUUUUUGGUUUAUCUUUUGCUUGGUUUCUUUUAGUCAUAGCUCAAACCACUCAUGCCACUUGACACACACUGUGUUUGUCGUAGUGUAAAGCACGUUUCUUUGAUGCAUUCAUAUCAAGUCAUAUCAAGUUCUCAGCUAUUUUGUCAUAUGUGAAAGAUGUAGCAAUUAUACCAUCCUUUUAGAUUUUUCUGUUUGAAAGAUAACAUUGUUAUUUUUACUUGUGUUUGCUUUAUCGGCAGCUGAAAACACUUACGCACAUCAUACCCGUUUUCCCACUAAACAAAAUGUUAUCUGUC